This is a ribosomal RNA of 272 nucleotides. It matches the Rfam family "Bacterial large subunit ribosomal RNA", at positions 2036 to 2307 of the family's 2925-position model.
GCGAAGUUGAAAUGUUUGUGAUGAUGCAAUCUACCCGCGGCUAGACGGAAAGACCCCAUGAACCUUUACUGUAGCUUUGCAUUGGACUUUGAAUCAAUCUGUGUAGGAUAGGUGGGAGGCUUUGAAGUGGGGACGCCAGUUCUCAUGGAGCCAUCCUUGAAAUACCACCCUGGUUCAUUUGAGGUUCUAACCUUGGCCCGUUAUCCGGGUCGGGGACAGUGCAUGGUAGGCAGUUUGACUGGGGCGGUCUCCUCCUAAAGUGUAACGGAGGA